This is a long non-coding RNA of Stegostoma tigrinum, 976 nucleotides long. RefSeq lists it as uncharacterized. The transcript has 3 exons. The record is from RefSeq and is a predicted model, not a curated record. NCBI's taxonomy places the organism in Eukaryota, Metazoa, Chordata, Chondrichthyes, Orectolobiformes, Stegostomatidae.
CAUCCACGAGAGCGGUCUCGAGUCGCUGAGACAACUGGAACGGCAGAUGCUGGAGCAUCGGAUAUAACACGGUGUGCAGCCAGAUGAACACAGCAGGUCAAGCAGCAUCAGAGGAGCAGGAAAGCUGACGUUUCCGGCCUAGAUCCUUCGCUGAGACCAAGAUUUAUGCAAUUGAGAUACUAGCGAUCAUUGCCAAAGCCCUGUUGCCUGUGGAGAAGUUUAACCUUCGUGUCCUGCUGCAGUUUGUAUGAUGAAGGUGCUCCCACAAUGCGGCCAUUUGAGAAGUUACAGAUCAUUCAUCUAGCAAUACUGAAGAGCUGAUGGUAUUUCCACAAUUUUACUUCUGCACUGUUCUUAACCUUUCAAUCCCUCUGAAAGACUGAGUUACAGAUUUAUACAAUGCCUGUCCUUCCUCCCUGGCUCUCCCACCUCUCUUUCGGUAAUUUUGUGUAAACACUGACUGACUGAAUACCUUACCUGGAGGAUAUUUAUGAAUGGAUUUGUUCUAAUGAUAAUCCAACAUGUUUUCCAAGUGUCGCUCCACAAAUGUCCAGAGGAUUUCUCAGUUUCACAGUCUGUUUUCUCUUCUGGUUUCUCACUCAUUGCACUUACUUUCUGUGUGAUAGCUUAGUCUGCAGUUAGAGAAUUCAAACUGUUCCACAUCCAGGUCUGACAGUCACUUUGUUUAUCACAACCCAAUUAUCUCAGGAUUUUGAACAUUUAAGGAGAAAGCAGCACUCACACUUUGGAGAAAUACAAAUGGUUUGUGUGUCAAAGAGUCUGUGAAGAUUCAUCUGAAAUGUUCUAACACCAGCGCAGUGACUCUGGGGAGAGACUGUGGAAAUGGGCAGAUUGCAAGAAGGAACUUCUUCAUCCAUCCCACCUAGAAACUGACCACCAGAGUCACACUGGAGAGAAACCAUUCACCUGCUCUGAUUGUGGUAUGGGAUUCACUCAGUCAUCUAACCUGCUUAAA